UUGUGUGGGUUUUUUUUCUGGUUUUAUUUGUUUGCUUGUUUUGGUAAGGUCUUUUUAAGCUCUGUGUUUGGAUAUUGACAUCAGUACCGGGGAAGUGCUAUAGUCGAUUUAGGUGGAACCAGGCCCCUUUUCAAGAACUCUGGGGAUGCAGACGGACUGAGGCGGCACUCACCGAGGUGUGAUACCGGUGGGAACCUUCAAGGGCGCUCUAAAGAUUGCCAGGCUGCAGUAACAGCAGAAGCGCUUCGUACACAAGUGGACACGACUGCCCGGCGGCACCAGCACCCAUACAAUGCGAUUAACCAGAACCAAGCCACUCCCUGAAACGACUUGCAUGGAAGGCAGAUGUUGUUGUAAGAACUGGGUAAAGGUGAGAUCAUGGCCUGAGAGUUCACACGCUGGUCAUAUCCCUUCUCUAAUAAUAUAAUUUAUAAAAUAAAACAGGAUUUCUUGCAUCGUUCUGAAAAUAUUCUGCAGGACCUUUUUUCAUAUUUGAAUCUAGGAAAUCAAACUGUUCUACAGAAACAGAUUAUUGUAUUUGAGAGCCUAUGAGAAACAGUCAAAACAUUAAAUUAAAUGAAGGCUGAUGUUUAUUUUUUUGAAGAUUUCAAAAAUUAUUACUUUAAUAACUGUAAUAUGGAAUUAAUCAACUACUCAUUUGGUGCAAAAUUGUGUUUUUGAACAUUAUUAUCCUGCAGAAAUAAACUCUGAAUAUGAGUGAGCUCUGAUAUAAGGGAUAGCAUGCUACAAGGCAGUUGGUAGUGUUAUGCCAGCUGUCUUCAUCAUGCAAGAAAUGCAGUAAUACUAUAGCAAACUUCUAUUGGAAAAUGUGGUAACUAACCUGCAAGAUGUCUUUUUAGUAUAAAUUAUAUUGAGCUUUCAGUGUUCAGUCAGCUUCAAAAUACUUAACAGGUUUUUAUUUUUGUGAGGAUUUCUAAGGCUCAAGGUGUUUUGUGCCCCAAACUCCUUCUUGAUAAGGUACUGUGAGGCCAACCUUGGCAGGUCAAAAGUAGCUUGUAAAUACUACCAGUAAGGUUGUAUCUUCAGCACAUAAUUUUGCUAUCACAUGCCCAGUUUUUAACAAGUACAGAGAUAUAGGCUUUCUUUUGGAGUCCUAUUGUAGGAACUGGCAGCUGCAACCAGAUUUCUUUACUAUUUUUCUUGUCUGGGAAAAGACAGAAAAGAUUUCAUACAUUGGUAAAGCUGCCAACUAGGCAGCACUGAGUUCCACCAAUGCCUGGUCCAUCCUGCUGCAACUACAGCAACUCAUCUGUGUGGGACCUCCUUCUCCACUGAACUGCUCUUUUGUGCCUCUGAAGAAGACUUGUAAACCUCAGUUUCACUCCCAGGGACCUGCAUGGAAAGCUAUGUCACAACUCAGUCUGACUGCUCAAGCCUGCACAUACAGCUGAGAAUUAUUGUUAUUAAGCAUCCCAGCAUGCUGACCUAUUCUUGGAAAUAUGACUGUCAUCUAAAUAAGUACCUAUUUGGGAUAAAAAAAUAAGCAUUUCUCUAGCUCCUUGACUUGACUUUUCAGUGUUCUUUAAACCCUAGUCACUUGAGCUGCUAUAGUCUAAAUAGCAGCAAUUAGGGAAUAGUUCAGUCAUCUGCCUCUGUUUUUCAGUACUUCACACCCAUGUAUUUAAAGGUAGCCGAAGGUCUACACGACUUUCCAACCAAACAUUGCAGCCUGACGUGUAGAUCCGCUAGCAUUGUCUGCAGUAUCCAUGGGAAGCUGGAUGGUACCUAAAUGUGUACCAAGAAACCAGGGGAUGCACUCAGCUGGUGACAAGCCUUCCUUCGAUGUUACCCGAGCUCUAAAGGAAAAAGUCAAACAUCAGAUAAUGCCAGGCUGCAGACAGUUUAGGCAGUAAGAACUUACUGCUUUCUUUCUGCUCCUCUUCCUCUAGACACUACUGCCUUAUAAGAGAUGUUUAAUUCAACUGCUGUGCAGUUUGGUGGGUAGGAUGCUCUGCUCUGAGCAGCCCUGCUUGUGCCUGAGCUACCCAGAAGACACGUCACGACUUGAGUUCAGUGUUGUAGCACAAGUUCAGGUGCUUUUCUGCGUAUGUUGCCCCUGGGCUCCUUCAAUUGGCAAGUCACAGCACACCCUGUGCACACCUCAGCCUUUGCUGUGGUACUUGGUUGUGCUGCCAAGGCAUCUCAGGGGUUCCCAGCACUGAAGGCUGAAUGAUACAGACUAUGAAUCCAAGCACGUGCCUCCAUGGGAAAUGCCUCCUACUGAAAACAUGCUACUAUGCAGCUUUGAAAGUGACACAGGCAAAUGAACUGUACCUCUGAGAACAACCUUACAGAAGGUUCUCAAGGUGUCUUCACCGGUGUCACAGAACGGAAUCACACAUUCUCCUCUCUGUCCUGCCUCAGUCUUGUUGUUUUGUAUAAACUUCUGUAUAAUGAAUAAUAAAUGUGGGCUGAGCAAGGCCCUCAUAACACUGGUUAUUGACAAGGCUUACAUUUAGCAGAGAGAUAAAAUGAACAGGGUACAACAUAUUUUCUUCCUCUAUUUUUAUUAAUGUUCCAUGCUUAGAGUGACCUUUUGAAGAUCUUGGUAAUGCUCUUGUUUAAUUUUUCUUCAUUCUAAAAUUAUCACUCUCAUUGGUUUGUUUUUUUUAUUUUCCCUAGAUAAAAGAAUCUUAACUUUUGCAUGAGACCAACCAGUGAAAAUGUUGAAGAUCAUUGUCAAGUGCAAAAGUAUUUGUGUAUCAAUAUUAUAAACAACUACAACUCUUUGUUAAUCUUACCUGUUUAAUAAGUAGUAAGUGUAAAAAAAAAAAAAAAUCUCAGGGAGUCUGUUUGUAUUGUGCAGAUUUUUUCAAGUACCAUUGUAAUUGUCGGUGUGACAUUUGAGAACAAAUAACCUCCAAUAAGAAUUUUUUAUCUGUC
Long non-coding RNA from Corvus hawaiiensis (hawaiian crow), 2904 nucleotides. RefSeq lists it as uncharacterized. Lineage: Eukaryota; Metazoa; Chordata; Aves; Passeriformes; Corvidae. The transcript is spliced from 2 exons. The record is from RefSeq and is a predicted model, not a curated record.